CCUACGGGUGGCUGCAGUGGGGAAUAUUGGACAAUGGGGGCAACCCUGAUCCAGCCAUGCCGCGUGUGUGAAGAAGGCCCUCGGGUUGUAAAGCACUUUCAGUGAGGAAGAACGCCUGGUGGUUAAUACCCAUCAGGAAAGACAUCACUCACAGAAGAAGCACCGGCUAACUCCGUGCCAGCAGCCGCGGUAAUACGGAGGGUGCGAGCGUUAAUCGGAAUUACUGAGCGUAAAGCGCGCGUAGGUGGCUUGAUAAGCCGGUUGUGAAAGCCCCGGGCUCAACCUGGGAACGGCAUCCGGAACUGUCAAGCUAGAGUGCAGGAGAGGAAGGUAGAAUUCCCGGUGUAGCGGUGAAAUGCGUAGAGAUCGGGAGGAAUACCAGUGGCGAAGGCGGCCUUCUGGACUGACACUGACACUGAGGUGCGAAAGCCUGGGUAGCAAACAGGAUUAGAUACCCUGGUAGUC
RNAcentral lists this ribosomal RNA (465 nucleotides) under Vreelandella stevensii. Its description in RNAcentral is "partial 16S ribosomal RNA". It matches the Rfam family "Bacterial small subunit ribosomal RNA", at positions 338 to 795 of the family's 1533-position model. The record is from RNAcentral. Lineage: Bacteria; Pseudomonadati; Pseudomonadota; Gammaproteobacteria; Oceanospirillales; Halomonadaceae.